UGGGGAUGACGUCAAGUCAGCAUGGCCUUUAUAUCCUGGGCUACACACACGCUACAAUGGGAAGGGACAAUAGGUUGCGAAGCCGCGAGGCGGAGCCAAUCCAGCAAAACUUCCCUCAGUUCAGAUUGCAGGCUGCAACUCGCCUGCAUGAAGUCGGAAUCGCUAGUAAUCGCGGAUCAGCAUGUCGCGGUGAAUACGUUCCCGGGUCUU
RNAcentral lists this ribosomal RNA (210 nucleotides) under uncultured Anaerolineaceae bacterium. Its description in RNAcentral is "partial 16S ribosomal RNA". It matches the Rfam family "Bacterial small subunit ribosomal RNA", at positions 1174 to 1382 of the family's 1533-position model. The record is from RNAcentral. Lineage: Bacteria; Bacillati; Chloroflexota; Anaerolineae; Anaerolineales; Anaerolineaceae.